Cannabis sativa is the source of this 3049-nucleotide RNA transcript. It is a transcript of the gene named metal-nicotianamine transporter YSL3, with no coding region annotated. NCBI's taxonomy places the organism in Eukaryota, Viridiplantae, Streptophyta, Magnoliopsida, Rosales, Cannabaceae. The transcript is spliced from 8 exons. The record is from RefSeq and is a predicted model, not a curated record.
UUUUCCAUGUGGGGCAAAAAUUUUAAUUAACAAAAAAAAAAAAAAGUAGAUGGCACAAACUCUUGGGUGACUUCCAAUAGUUCCAUGGUUAACUGUUUGAGAUGAAGAUUUUAGAGUAGAAAGAAGAAGGAAAUUUAGCCAUGGAAUCAGGAUGAUGAGCUGAGUUUCGCCUCUCUGGAAUAGCAUGAUUUUGAAAAACUAAAGACUGAAUGAAGCUCUAAAGAUCGCACCUGGCCCCAAUACUACUCAUACUCGGAAAAAAAAUCUGUAUAUUUCUCUCAUAAACGAAGACUAAAGACUUCAUUUUGAUAAAAUCUUCGAACAUAAUGAUAAAAAAGAACACUACAAAGUUUGACUCUUCACUAGGCCUCAGGUAUUUGUUCUAUGUGCGAUAUUGAGAAAAGAUUGUGUAUACCCAUUUCGAGUUUUGAUCUUUUUCGGUCAAGUUUCGAGGAAAUAGCAAGAUUGAGGUUAGAUCGUAUCUGGGAUUUGUUUACACUUAUCUAAAGUUCGGACCUUUGGUUGAUUUUGAUUCAAUUCUAUAAUGGAGAAUGAGACUACUUAUAAUGGAGGGUUGGAGAUUGAAAAAUUUAAGAGAGAUGAUAUGGAAAUUGCACCAUGGACCAAACAGAUCACUCUUCGUGGGUUGGUGGCAAGUAUAGUGAUUGGAAUCAUUUACAGUGUCAUAGUAAUGAAGCUGAUUCUCACCACUGGUAUGGUCCCAAAUCUCAAUGUCUCAGCUGCUCUUCUUGCUUUUGUGUUUGUUAGGACAUGGACUAAUUUGCUUAGCAAGGUUGGAAUUGUGUCAUCUCCUUUCACUAGACAAGAGAAUACUACAAUCCAAACUUGUGCAGUUGCAUGUUAUGGUAUUGCUGUUGCAGGUGGGUUUGGAUCUUAUCUGUUGGGUUUGAACCAGAAAACCUAUGAACAAGCAGGAGUUGAUACAGAAGGCAAUACUAUUGGGAGUACUAAAGAGCCUGGUAUUGGUUGGAUCACUGGUUUUCUCUUUGUUACUUGUUUUGUUGGGUUAUUGACCUUGGUACCUCUUAGAAAGAUUAUGAUUAUAGACUACAAACUAUCUUAUCCAAGUGGAACUGCUACUGCUGUUCUUAUCAAUGGUUUUCACACACCUAAAGGAGACAAAAUGGCUAAGAAACAGGUUGAUGGGUUCAUGAGAUUCUUUUCAAUUAGUUUCAUAUGGGGUUUCUUUCAGUGGUUUUAUUCAGGUGGAGAUCAAUGUGGAUUUAAUCAGUUCCCAAUAUUUGGAUUGAAAGCUUGGAAAAACUCAUUUUACUUUGAUUUUAGUGCCACUUACGUUGGGGCAGGUAUGAUCUGUUCCCAUCUAGUGAACUUGUCUUUGCUUCUUGGUGCUGUGCUCUCAUGGGGUGUAAUGUGGCCCUUGAUAAGGGGUCUUAAAGGAGAGUGGUUCCCUCAAACUUUAUCAGAAAGCAGUAUGAAAAGUCUAAAUGGUUACAAGGUUUUCAUCUCCAUAGCUUUGAUACUUGGAGAUGGGCUCUAUAACUUUCUCAAGAUACUGUUUUUCACUGCCACAAACAUCCAUACCAAAAUGAAGAACAAGGCCCACAAAACAUCUAUAAACAAUCAAACUGAGACCCUUGAUGAUCUUAAAAGAAAUGAGUUGUUUGUAAGAGAUAGCAUUCCUCUUUGGAUAGCAUGCGUCGGUUAUGGUUUCUUUGCCCUCAUUUCCAUCAUUACUAUCCCAAUAAUGUUCCCGGAGCUCAAAUGGUACUAUGUGGUUGUUGCCUACAUUCUUGCACCUUCUCUGAGCUUCUGCAAUGCUUAUGGUGCUGGUUUAACAGACAUGAACAUGGCUUAUAAUUAUGGUAAAGUGGCUCUUUUUGUUCUUGCAAAUCUUGCUGGAAAGGAUAAUGGUGUGGUUGCUGGGCUUGUUGGUUGCGGUUUGAUCAAGUCCAUUGUGUCCAUAUCUUCUGAUUUGAUGCAUGAUUUCAAGACCGGCCAUCUCACUCUGACAUCUCCUCGAUCCAUGCUUGUAAGCCAGGCUAUCGGGACUGCAAUAGGCUGUGUGGUGGCGCCUGUCACAUUCUUCCUUUUCUACAAGGUCUUUAAUGUAGGGGACCCGAAUGGUGAAUACAAAGCUCCAUACGCAAUAAUCUACAGAAACAUGGCAAUUCUAGGUGUUCAAGGCUUUUCUGCGUUGCCUCAGCAUUGCUUGCAGCUCUGUUAUGGCUUCUUCACAUUCGCCAUUGGAGCCAACCUUCUUAGAGACCUUUCACCAAAGCAUAUCGGUAAAUGGGUUCCCCUCCCAAUGGCCAUGGCCGUUCCUUUCUUGGUUGGUGCUUACUUUGCCAUCGACAUGUGUGUGGGAAGUUUGGUUGUUUUUGUGUGGCACAAACUGAAUGAUCAGACUGCUGCCCUGAUGAUUCCUGCUGUUGCUUCGGGUUUGAUCUGUGGAGAUGGUUUGUGGAUUCUUCCCUCAUCAAUACUUUCAUUGGCCAAGGUUCGUCCUCCAAAUUGCAUGCGCUUCUAGACAGCAAACUAAGAAGAAGAAAAUAACUCGAAUUGUGCUUCCUUAGAUAGAGUUAUGCUCUUUCUGACUCUCGAGAGCAAUUCAAAUGGUCUGGCAUGUGGUUUGUUAGUAUAAGGUUCGAGAUUCGAGUCUCUCCUGGAUAUCCACACAAUUUCGAUGUAUAUUAGAGCUCGAGCAAGGUAAGAGAAAGGGAGGAGAGUCAGCUGGCUCACACAAAAGAGAGCACAAGUACUCUACCAAGGUGUGGUCAUUGAAAACAAGUGAGUGGCAUGGUUGAACAUACUUACAUAUUUAUUGAAACUCACACACCAAGACAAAAACAUUAAAGUCCAUAUUCAUAUUUGGAUAUUUCUUAUCAUGAUGUUUUCAGUAUCUUUUCUCUUUAAAAAUAUUAUUACAGAACAGAUUGAUUGAGCCACACAACACAAGUUUACUUAACAAUAUGGUUCUUUUUCUCUAUGAUUUUGAUUUUGUGUAUUAUAAAAGUGUGUAUGACAUUAUUUCUUGGAAAAAUUGAACAAUAAGUGAUUUGAAAUUCAU